RNAcentral lists this non-coding RNA (311 nucleotides) under Pan troglodytes (chimpanzee). Lineage: Eukaryota; Metazoa; Chordata; Mammalia; Primates; Hominidae. The record is from RNAcentral.
GCUGUUGAAGGCCCACGGGCGUGACUGCACCCCUCACUAAUUGGUCAUUGGUUUGGGGAGGACACCACUGUCCCAGUGGAACCUUGAGCACACCUUGGAGCCCUCCUCUUCCUCUCCGGACCUGCGCCAAACUGCCAUCCUGCAGCCACCAGAACCUUCCACAUGAAAUGAAAGGCUCACCACUUCAUAGGCUUUAAGGAAAUUCUUGGCCAGGUGUGGUGCCUCACUCCUGUAAUCCCAGUGCUUUAAGAGGCCAAGAUGGGAGGAUUGUUUGAGCCAGGUGUUUGAGACCAGCCUGGGCAACAUCGUAA